Molecule: ribosomal RNA, 378 nt
Filed under: uncultured bacterium
Lineage: Bacteria
Description: bacterial SSU rRNA
Rfam family: Bacterial small subunit ribosomal RNA
Source: RNAcentral
UACGGAGGGUCCGAGCGUUAUCCGGAAUCAUUGGGUUUAAAGGGUCCGUAGGCGGACAAUUAAGUCAGUGGUGAAAGUCUGCAGCUCAACUGUAGAAUUGCCAUUGAUACUGGUUGUCUUGAAUCGUUGUGAAGUGGCUAGAAUAUGUGGUGUAGCGGUGAAAUGCUUAGAUAUCACAUAGAAUACCGAUUGCGAAGGCAGGUCACUAACAACGUAUUGACGCUGAUGGACGAAAGCGUGGGGAGCGAACAGGAUUAGAUACCCUGGUAGUCCACGCCGUAAACGAUGGAUACUAGCUGUCCGGCGCACAUUGGUGUGCUGGGUGGCCCAGCGAAAGUGAUAAGUAUCCCACCUGGGGAGUACGUUCGCAAGAAUGAA